This is a long non-coding RNA of Bactrocera neohumeralis, 823 nucleotides long. RefSeq lists it as uncharacterized. Lineage: Eukaryota; Metazoa; Arthropoda; Insecta; Diptera; Tephritidae. The transcript is spliced from 3 exons. The record is from RefSeq and is a predicted model, not a curated record.
UGAAUCUUUAGCAUACAUAGCGGUUGUCAAGGUGAUGUUCAAUCAUAAUAAUCGCAAAUUAUAGCAACUCUAAUCAUAAGCGUGUCGCAGUUCGCAUUAACGGCGAUAUCCAUUGAAAGGCAAGUUAGUAAACUACAGCGGGGUACUGCAGUAUAACGCCAAAGUCUGAUGCAAACAAAAUUAAAUUUUUCACCUCUCCAUUGGGUACAUACAUAUAUACUAUAUACAGCUGCAAGGUCAAUACACUAUCCGUUGUAAACACGCAUGAGUUAGAGGUGCGAUUUUGGCAAUGUCGCGCUCAUUUGGACUACCUCAAAUAUGACUUUAUGCCCCAUGUUGCUCUUCUUUACAACCGGAGAAGUAGAAUUAAAGGAUGGUACCUACACCGAUUGGCCUGAAGUUCCGACGAAUUACUCGCAACAGGAAUAUGUCAUCCACCCCCUCUACCCGGUAAAACUGGCGCAUCCUAAUGCUACAGUGUAAUUCACCACAGCUGAUGGCACUACUGCACAACUCAACACAUCUGUACGCCAACCCACUCAACAAAAAGGAUGGGCAUCGGGAAAGCAGACUCACUUCGUCUCAUACUAUUCGCCCAUCAACAUUUUCGUUCGACACACUGCGCACAUCAUCAAUUCGAUAUUUUAUACAUCGGUACAAGUAUCCGUGUUUACGUUGGCACUCAACUCAAUUUUCGGUCAACAACACCCGUCCCGUCCCCGAUAGUGUGCAUUUUCGACAACAGCGAUCUGGCGCGCUAUCUUGUUCUACCAUUUAAGUCGAUUACUUAAAUAACUAAAACCCUUAAUUAUAAGUAAAUAAU